This 484-nucleotide ribosomal RNA is filed under the name uncultured bacterium. Its description in RNAcentral is "partial 16S ribosomal RNA". It matches the Rfam family "Bacterial small subunit ribosomal RNA", at positions 28 to 523 of the family's 1533-position model. The record is from RNAcentral.
AAUGAACGCUGGCGGCGUGGAUUAGGCAUGCAAGUCGUGCGGAAAGGCUCCUUCGGGAGUACUCGAGCGGCGAAAGGGAGAGUAACGCGUGGAUAUCUACCCCCUGGCCUGGGAUAGCGGCGGGAAACUGCCGGUAAUACCAGAUAAUAUCUGCGGAUCAAAGGUGUGAUUCCGCCGGGGGAUGAGUCCGCGUCCUAUUAGCUAGUUGGGGAGGUAACGGCCCACCAAGGCUGAGAUGGGUACCGGGUGUGAGAGCAUGGCCCGGCUCACUGGGACUGAGACACUGCCCAGACACCUACGGGUGGCUGCAGUCGAGAAUCUUCGGCAAUGGGCGCAAGCCUGACCGAGCGACGCCGCGUGCGGGAUGAAGGCCUUCGGGUUGUAAACCGCUGUCAGAGGGGAGGAAAUGCAUGGGGGUUCUCCCUCAUGUUUGACCUAUCCUCAGAGGAAGUACGGGCUAAGUUCGUGCCAGCAGCCGCCGUAA